Molecule: long non-coding RNA, 271 nt
Organism: Passer domesticus (house sparrow)
Lineage: Eukaryota; Metazoa; Chordata; Aves; Passeriformes; Passeridae
Exons: 3
Source: RefSeq, a predicted model, not a curated record
UUGAUAGAAACAAACGUGCUCAGACUUCUGCAAAUGGGAGAAAGCUGCCUCUGAAAUUAUUUCCAUUUUCAAGAGGGGCUUGCAGAAUUUUUAGGAUGCAAUGCCCUUCGUUGUCACAGAGUAAGGAGCUUCCUGCAUAGAAUAUAGCCUCUAAACUGAGUUAAAGCCAAAUCCAGAGUUUGCCCCAACAGCUCUGCCAAGCAUUCUGGAGAAAAGGGGUACCUGUGCAGCCGUGAGGGUGCCAGGAGGGCACAUUCCCCCUGGAUCUGCA